GCCAGCAGCCGCGGUAACACCGGCGGCUCGAGUGGUAACCGUUAUUAUUGGGUCUAAAGGGUCUGUAGCCGGCCGGAUAAGUCUCUUGAGAAAUCUGGCAGCUUAACUGUCAGGCUUUCAGGAGAUACUGUCUGGCUCGAGGCCGGGAGAGGUGAGAGGUACUUCAGGGGUAGGGGUGAAAUCUUGUAAUCCUUGAAGGACCACCAGUGGCGAAGGCGUCUCACCAGAACGGACCUGACGGCAAGGGACGAAAGCUAGGGGCACGAACCGGAUUAGAUACCCGGGUAGUCCUAGCCGUAAACGAUACUCGCUAGGUGUCCGCCACGGUGCGACCGUUGUCGGUGCCGUAGGGAACCGUGAAGCGAGCCACCUGGGAAGUACGCCGCAAGGCUGAAACUUAAAGGAAUUGGCGGGGGAGCACCACAACGGGUGGAGCUUGCGGUUUAAUUGGAUUCAACGCCGGAAAUCUUACCGGGACCGACAGCAACAUGAAGGCCAGGCUGAAGACUUUGCCGGAUUAGCUGAGAGGUGGUGCAUGGCGUCGUCAGUUCGUACUGUGAAGCAUCCUGUUAAGUCAGGCAACGAGCGAGACCCACGCCCACAGUUGCCAGCGUACUCUCCGGAGUGACGGGUACACUGUGGGGACCGCCGCUGCUAAAGCGGAGGAAGGAAUGGGCAACGGUAGGUCAGUAUGCCCCGAAUAUCCCGGGCUACACGCGAGCUACAAUGGUUGGUACAAUGGGUAUCUACCCCGAAAGGGGACGGAAAUCUCCUAAAACCAAUCUUAGUUCGGAUUGAGGGCUGCAACUCGCCCUCAUGAAGCUGGAAUCCGUAGUAAUCGCGUUUCAACAGAACGCGGUGAAUACGUCCCUGCUCCCUUGUACACACCGCCCGU
Molecule: ribosomal RNA, 895 nt
Filed under: uncultured Dehalococcoides sp.
Lineage: Bacteria; Bacillati; Chloroflexota; Dehalococcoidia; Dehalococcoidales; Dehalococcoidaceae
Description: bacterial SSU rRNA
Rfam family: Archaeal small subunit ribosomal RNA
Source: RNAcentral